RNAcentral lists this ribosomal RNA (407 nucleotides) under uncultured bacterium. RNAcentral describes it as "partial 16S ribosomal RNA". It matches the Rfam family "Bacterial small subunit ribosomal RNA", at positions 30 to 526 of the family's 1533-position model. The record is from RNAcentral.
AUCGAACGCUAGCGGGAUGCCUUACACAUGCAAGUCGAACGGAGUGGCGAACGGGUGAGUAAUGUAUCGGAACGUGCCCAGUAGCGGGGGAUAACUAAGCGAAAGCGUAGCUAAUACCGCAUACUUUUGGAGCGGCCGAUAUCGGAGUAGCUAGUUGGUGGGGUAAAGGGUCACCAAGGCGACGAGCCGUCGCUGGUUUGAGAGGACGACCAGCCACACUGGGACUGAGACACGGCCCAUACUCCUACGGGAGGCAGCAUUGGGGAAUUUUGGUCAAUGGGGGCAACCCUGAGCCAGCCAUCCCGCGUGUGCGAUGAAGGCCGUCGGGUUGUAAAGCUCUUUUGGCAGGGAAGCGGUACCUGCAGAAUAAGCACCGGCUAACUACGUGCCAGCCGCCGCGGUAAUUC